This 492-nucleotide ribosomal RNA is filed under the name uncultured bacterium. RNAcentral describes it as "partial 16S ribosomal RNA". It matches the Rfam family "Bacterial small subunit ribosomal RNA", at positions 29 to 507 of the family's 1533-position model. The record is from RNAcentral.
AGUGAACGCUGGCGGUAGGCCUAACACAUGCAAGUCGAACGGCAGCACAGUAAGAGCUUGCUCUUACGGGUGGCGAGUGGCGGACGGGUGAGGAAUACAUCGGAAUCUACUUUUUCGUGGGGGAUAACGUAGGGAAACUUACGCUAAUACCGCAUACGACCUACGGGUGAAAGCAGGGGAUCUUCGGACCUUGCGCGAUUGAAUGAGCCGAUGUCGGAUUAGCUAGUUGGCGGGGUAAAGGCCCACCAAGGCGACGAUCCGUAGCUGGUCUGAGAGGAUGAUCAGCCACACUGGAACUGAGACACGGCCCAGACUCCUACGGGAGGCAGCAGUGGGGAAUAUUGGACAAUGGGCGCAAGCCUGAUCCAGCCAUACCGCGUGAGUGAAGAAGGCCUUCGGGUUGUAAAGCCCUUUUGUUGGGAAAGAAAAGCAGCAGGUUAAUACCCCGCUGUUCUGACGGUACCCAAAGAAUAAGCACCGGCUAACUUCGUG